ACGUAGGGGGCAAGCGUUAUCCGGAUUUACUGGGUGUAAAGGGAGCGUAGACGGCGACACAAGUCUGAAGUGAAAUACCUGGGCUCAACCUGGGAACUGCUUUGGAAACUGUGUUGCUAGAGUGCUGGAGAGGUAAGCGGAAUUCCUAGUGUAGCGGUGAAAUGCGUAGAUAUUAGGAAGAACACCAGUGGCGAAGGCGGCUUACUGGACAGUAACUGACGUUGAGGCUCGAAAGCGUGGGGAGCAAACAG
This 251-nucleotide ribosomal RNA is filed under the name uncultured bacterium. Its description in RNAcentral is "partial 16S ribosomal RNA". It matches the Rfam family "Bacterial small subunit ribosomal RNA", at positions 525 to 775 of the family's 1533-position model. The record is from RNAcentral.